Molecule: ribosomal RNA, 497 nt
Filed under: uncultured bacterium
Lineage: Bacteria
Description: partial 16S ribosomal RNA
Rfam family: Bacterial small subunit ribosomal RNA
Source: RNAcentral
GAUGAACGCUGGCGGCGUGCCUAAUACAUGCAAGUCGAGCGAGCAGAUGAGGAGCUUGCUCCUCUGACGUUAGCGGCGGACGGGUGGGUAACACGUGGAUAACCUACCUAUAAGACUGGGAUAACUUCGGGAAACCGGAGCUAAUACCGGAUAAUAUAUUGAACCGCAUGGUUCAAUAGUGAAAGACGGUUUUGCUGUCACUUAUAGAUGGAUCCGCGCCGCAUUAGCUAGUUGGUAAGGUAACGGCUUACCAAGGCAACGAUGCGUAGCCGACCUGAGAGGGUGAUCGGCCACACUGGAACUGAGACACGGUCCAGACUCCUACGGGAGGCAGCAGUAGGGAAUCUUCCGCAAUGGGCGAAAGCCUGACGGAGCAACGCCGCGUGAGUGAUGAAGGUCUUCGGAUCGUAAAACUCUGUUAUUAGGGAAGAACAAAUGUGUAAGUAACUAUGCACGUCUUGACGGUACCUAAUCAGAAAGCCACGGCUAACUACGUG